This 1397-nucleotide ribosomal RNA is filed under the name Candidatus Woesebacteria bacterium. RNAcentral describes it as "bacterial SSU rRNA". It matches the Rfam family "Bacterial small subunit ribosomal RNA". Lineage: Bacteria; Candidatus Woeseibacteriota. The record is from RNAcentral.
UUUUUUGAGGGUUUGAUCCUGGCCCAGGAUGAACGCUGGCGGUGUGCCUUAGGCAUGCAAGUGGGACGAGCUGUAGCAAUACAGUUAGUCGCGAACGGCUGAGUAUAAAAUAGGAAUCUACCCAAUGGUUCGGAAUACCUCGUCGAAAGACGAGCUAAUACCGGAUGACAUCUUCGGAUAAAAGCGCAUAACUGCGCGCCGAUGGAGGAGCCUAUUUCCCAUCAGGCAGUUGGUAGGGUAAUGGCCUACCAAACCUACGACGGGUAGGGGGUGUGAGAGCAUGACCCCCCAGAAUGGGACUGAGACACGGCCCAUACACCUACGGGUGGCAGCAACUAGGAAUCGUACGCAAUGGACGAAAGUCUGACGUCGCGACACCGCGUGAGGGAUGAAGGUCUUCGGAUCGUAAACCUCUUUUGAUUAAUUAGAGAUAAUUAGUAGAAUAAGUGCCCGCUAACCACGUGCCAGCAGCUGCGGUAAUACGUGGGGCACAAGCGUUAUCCGGAUUUACUGGGCGUAAAGCGUUUCGUAGGCGACUUGUUAAGUUAUUCUUUAAAGACCGGGGCUCAACCUCGGGAAGGGGGAUAAUACUAACUGGUUUGAAAUAUUUCGGGGUUACUGGAACUAUUGGUGUAGGGGUGAAAUCCGUUGAUACCAAUAGGAACUCCAAGGGCGAAGGCAGGUAACUAGGAAUUUUUUGACGCUGAGGAACGACAGCUAGGGGAGCAAAAGGGAUUAGAGACCCCUGUAGUCCUAGCCGUAAACUAUGCUCGCUAGGGAUUGGAUCGUAAGAUUCAGUUCCGUAAGCUAACGCGUUAAGCGAGCCGCCUGGGGAGUACGACCGCAAGGUUAAAACUCAAAGGAAUUGACGGGGACCUGCACAACCAGUGGAGCAUGUGGUUCAAUUCGAGACGAACCGUAGGACCUUACCAAGGUUUGACAUUGCCCUCUUUAGGUCUGUAGAAAUAUGGACUGAUUUUUAAGUAAUUAAAAAAGGGGCAACAGGUGUUGCAUGGCUGUCGUCAGCUCGUGCCGUGGGGUGUUCCCUUAAGUGGGGUAACGAGCGCAACCCCUUUCCCAUGUUAUAUAUCCAUGGGAUACUAUCUCGCCUAGUGCGGGAAGGAAGUGGGGAUGAUGUCAAGUCAGCAUGGCCCUUAUACCUUGGGCGACACACAUGCUACAAUGGAGCCGACAAUGGGUUGCCAAAGAGUAAUCUGGAGCUAAUCCCAAAAACGGCUUCUCAGUGGGGAUUGAGGGCUGCAACUCGCCCUCAUGAACGCGGAAUUGGUAGUAAUCGGAGGUCAGCUAUACUCCGGUGAAUACGUUCUCAGGUCUUGUACACACCGCCUAUAGUAAUAUAGAUUUAGGUAACAACGCGCCAGGCAGUUAUGUCCUCU